UUAAGAUAUCGCAGCUUCGGUCGUGACGAUCGGGUUGUGUUGAGAGCAAUCUAUCGGCAGGUGUUGUUGGUAACUUGCUCGUUGAAUUUUUAAAUCAGGCCAAUUUUGCCGACGGUUUUAGUUUUAAUAACCGUAGGCUUUUAGGCAUAUUUAUUUUUNGACCUCAAAUCAAGCGAGGCUACCCGCUGAAUUUAAGCAUAUAAYUAAGCGGAGGAAAAGAAACUAACAAGGAUUCCCUCAGUAACGGCGAGUGAAGCGGGA
This 261-nucleotide unclassified non-coding RNA is filed under the name uncultured soil eukaryote. RNAcentral describes it as "sequence contains ITS2, 28S rRNA gene". The record is from RNAcentral.